GGCGGGGCUUCAGCUUGUAUACAUCAUACUUAAAUUUCAUUGGACGUUAUGUCGGAGGUUAAGGACACUAAAUUUUAAAACAUCACAUGACAUAUUCUCACAUGUUUCCUUACCUGUAAAAAUACAAUACAGACAGGAUUCUACUUCGUCGAAAUUAUUUUCCUAUUACGCCAGUUCAUUUUCACAAUCGUAGAAACGGAAUACAAUUUUUUUUCAGAGAUCCAACUUAAAGACUGUCGUCAAGCACUUUUAGUAAAAUAGCUAUUCGAACACACCUACUCUGAUUUUGUGAUCCAUUGGAUAGGUAUUUAACUUGACCCCUAUAUUUCAUCUUUUAGUACUGUGAUUUUUUUUAUGUUAUGAAGUCAACCUGUAGCUUUGCUAUAUAAAAUGAUAGAGUCUGAAGCGAGAUGAUGUAUCAAAUACUCUUGUUUUGUACAUUUUCAAGACAAAAUAUUCAUCUCAAACACACCCUAACAUAAAAAAAGGUGCACUCGAUUUUCUCUUUUCGAUACAAUUGUUUCCCAUUUUUUGAA
Molecule: long non-coding RNA, 536 nt
Filed under: Mytilus galloprovincialis (Mediterranean mussel)
Lineage: Eukaryota; Metazoa; Mollusca; Bivalvia; Mytilida; Mytilidae
Source: RNAcentral